GUCCAGACUCCUACGGGAGGCAGCAGUGGGGAAUAUUGCACAAUGGGGGGAACCCUGAUGCAGCGACGCCGCGUGGGUGAAGGAGCACCUCGGUGCGUAAAGCCCUAUCGGCAGGGAAGAAACAGACGGUACCUGACUAAGAAGCCCCGGCUAACUACGUGCCAGCAGCCGCGGGAAUACGUAGGGGGCGAGCGUUAUCCGGAUUCACUGGGUGUAAAGGGAGCGUAGACGGCCAUGCAAGCCAGGGGUGAAAGCCCGGGGCCCAACCCCGGGACUGCCCUUGGAACUGCAUGGCUGGAGUGCGGGAGGGGCAGGCGGAAUUCCUGGUGUAGCGGUGAAAUGCGUAGAUAUCAGGAGGAACACCGGUGGCGAAGGCGGCCUGCUGGACUGCAACUGACGUUGAGGCCCGAAAGCGUGGGGAGCAAACAGGAUUAGAUACCCGUGUACG
This 448-nucleotide ribosomal RNA is filed under the name uncultured bacterium. RNAcentral's name for it is "bacterial SSU rRNA". It matches the Rfam family "Bacterial small subunit ribosomal RNA", at positions 329 to 793 of the family's 1533-position model. The record is from RNAcentral.